Molecule: ribosomal RNA, 465 nt
Filed under: Vreelandella stevensii
Lineage: Bacteria; Pseudomonadati; Pseudomonadota; Gammaproteobacteria; Oceanospirillales; Halomonadaceae
Description: partial 16S ribosomal RNA
Rfam family: Bacterial small subunit ribosomal RNA
Source: RNAcentral
CCUACGGGUGGCUGCAGUGGGGAAUAUUGGACAAUGGGGGGAACCCUGAUCCAGCCAUGCCGCGUGUGUGAAGAAGGCCCUCGGGUUGUAAAGCACUUUCAGUGAGGAAGAACGCCUGGUGGUUAAUACCCAUCAGGAAAGACAUCACUCACAGAAGAAGCACCGGCUAACUCCGUGCCAGCAGCCGCGGUAAUACGGAGGGUGCGAGCGUUAAUCGGAAUUACUGGGCGUAAAGCGCGCGUAGGUGGCUUGAUAAGCCGGUUGUGAAAGCCCCGGGCUCAACCUGGGAACGGCAUCCGGAACUGGCAAGCUAGAGUGCAGGAGAGGAAGGUAGAAUUCCCGGUGUAGCGGUGAAAUGCGUAGAGAUCGGGAGGAAUACCAGUGGCGAAGGCGGCCUUCUGGACUGACACUGACACUGAGGUGCGAAAGCGUGGGUAGCAAACAGGAUUAGAUACCCUGGUAGUC